RNAcentral lists this ribosomal RNA (305 nucleotides) under uncultured bacterium. RNAcentral's name for it is "bacterial SSU rRNA". It matches the Rfam family "Bacterial small subunit ribosomal RNA", at positions 335 to 638 of the family's 1533-position model. The record is from RNAcentral.
UGCCUACGGGACGCAGCAGUGAGGAAUAUUGGUCAAUGGACGAAAGUCUGAACCAGCCAUGCCGCGUGCAGGAAGACGGCUCUAUGAGUUGUAAACUGCUUUUGUACAAGGGUAAACCUGAAUACGUGUAUUCAGCUGAAAGUACUGUACGAAUAAGGAUCGGCUAACUCCGUGCCAGCAGCCGCGGUAAUACGGAGGAUCCAAGCGUUAUCCGGAUUUAUUGGGUUUAACGGGUGCGUAGGCGGAUUGAUAAUUUAGCGGUGCACUGUCCGGGCUCAUCUCGGGAACUGCCUCUAAUACUGUUG